Molecule: ribosomal RNA, 490 nt
Filed under: uncultured bacterium
Lineage: Bacteria
Description: partial 16S ribosomal RNA
Rfam family: Bacterial small subunit ribosomal RNA
Source: RNAcentral
AUUGAACGCUGGCGGCAGGCCUAACACAUGCAAGUCGAACGGUAACAGGAAGAAGCUUGCUUCUUUGCUGACGAGUGGCGGACGGGUGAGUAAUGUCUGGGAAACUGCCUGAUGGAGGGGGAUAACUACUGGAAACGGUAGCUAAUACCGCAUAACGUCGCAAGACCAAAGAGGGGGACCUUCGGGCCUCUUGCCAUCGGAUGUGCCCAGAUGGGAUUAGCUAGUAGGUGGGGUAACGGCUCACCUAGGCGACGAUCCCUAGCUGGUCUGAGAGGAUGACCAGCCACACUGGAACUGAGACACGGUCCAGACUCCUACGGGAGGCAGCAGUGGGGAAUACUGCACAAUGGGCGCAAGCCUGAUGCAGCCAUGCCGCGUGUAUGAAGAAGGCCUUCGGGUUGUAAAGUACUUUCAGCGGGGAGGAAGGGAGUAAAGUUAAUACCUUUACUCAUUGACGUUACCCGCAGAAGAAGCACCGGCUAACUCCGUG